This is a long non-coding RNA of Asparagus officinalis (garden asparagus), 615 nucleotides long. RefSeq lists it as uncharacterized. NCBI's taxonomy places the organism in Eukaryota, Viridiplantae, Streptophyta, Magnoliopsida, Asparagales, Asparagaceae. The transcript has 3 exons. The record is from RefSeq and is a predicted model, not a curated record.
CAAUAUCCCGCCUUUCCAAAGAAAAAAUAAAUUGAAAAAACAAAAAGCAGUGCACCUUCUAAAUUUACAAUCAGAGGGGAGAGAGGAAAUUAGAAAAUUAAGACGAGUAGAAAAUCCAUCUCGUCCGCCAUUAGAGAAUCAACAGAACUCGUGAUCUACAUCGACGAGAGGAGCGACGGAGAGUAGAAAGUGCCCUAGAAUUCGAAGAAACGAGGAAAAAGAGAAUUCUUUUUAGGUUAAAGGCCUGAAGCAUUUUCUUGAGCUGGCGAGAUUCUCAUACGAAGAAUAUGGACUGGAUUAGCGACAGUGAUGGUAACGAUGAUUAUGACUGGGGUACCCAUGAGGCAGAUCUAGUACCGGCUUCCGACGGGAGUGCUGGUCCAUCGAAAAAAGUAAUGUAUUAUUCCUCUUGAUUGAGGAGCAAAAAAUUUCAACUUAUUGACACGUCUUAGACAAAAUUGUAAUAUUGGUCUUAAAUCAUGAUUAGCCAUGAGCACCUUUUCUUGUUAAAGUCAGAAUUAACUUGUAUAUUCUUCUAAAUGCUAGUUAGAAUAAGCUUUCCAGUGUGAUAUAAGACGCAGUAUUCUGAAGCUGGAUAUCUCAUAUUCUAAUUCA